CACUCCUACGGGAGGCAGCAGUGGGGAAUUUUGGACAAUGGGCGAAAGCCUGAUCCAGCAAUGCCGCGUGAGUGAAGAAGGCCUUCGGGUUGUAAAGCUCUUUUGUCAGGGAAGAAACGGUGAAAGCUAAUAUCUUUUGCUAAUGACGGUACCUGAAGAAUAAGCACCGGCUAACUACGUGCCAGCAGCCGCGGUAAUACGUAGGGUGCAAGCGUUAAUCGGAAUUACUGGGCGUAAAGCGUGCGCAGGCGGUUUUGUAAGUCUGAUGUGAAAUCCCCGGGCUCAACCUGGGAAUUGCAUUGGCGACUGCAAGGCUAGAAUCUGGCAGAGGGGGGUAGAAUUCCACGUGUAGCAGUGAAAUGCGUAGAUAUGUGGAGGAACACCGAUGGCGAAGGCAGCCCCCUGGGUCAAGAUUGACGCUCAUGCACGAAAGCGUGGGGAGCAAACAGGAUUAGAAACCCCAGUAGUCCCAUGA
RNAcentral lists this ribosomal RNA (475 nucleotides) under uncultured organism. RNAcentral describes it as "partial 16S ribosomal RNA". It matches the Rfam family "Bacterial small subunit ribosomal RNA", at positions 334 to 800 of the family's 1533-position model. The record is from RNAcentral.